AAAUUAAAGGGCCGCGGUAUUUUGACCGUGCAAAGGUAGCAUAAUCAUUAGUCUUUUAAUUGAGGGCUGGAAUGAAUGGUUUGACGAAAUAUUAACUGUCUCUUUAUAAUAAGUAGAAUUUAACUUCUGAGUCAAAAGGCUUAGAUGAAUAUAAAAGACGAGAAGACCCUAUAGAUCUUUAUACAUGAGUAUAUCUAUUUUGUUUAGGUGAAAUUUUAAUAGAUAUAUUAUUGUAUUAUGUUGGGGUGACAUGAAGAUAAAAUCAACUCUUUAUAAUCAAUACAUUGAUUUAUGGGUAAUUGAUCCGUUAUUAACGAUUAUAAGAUAAAGUUACCUUAGGGAUAACAGCGUAAUUUUUUUUGAGAGUUCUUAUCGACAAAAAAGAUUGCGACCUCGA
This 397-nucleotide ribosomal RNA is filed under the name Parapholidoptera spinulosa. RNAcentral describes it as "partial 16S ribosomal RNA". It matches the Rfam family "Bacterial large subunit ribosomal RNA", at positions 1920 to 2529 of the family's 2925-position model. The record is from RNAcentral. Lineage: Eukaryota; Metazoa; Arthropoda; Insecta; Orthoptera; Tettigoniidae.